This 230-nucleotide ribosomal RNA is filed under the name uncultured bacterium. Its description in RNAcentral is "partial 16S ribosomal RNA". It matches the Rfam family "Bacterial small subunit ribosomal RNA", at positions 562 to 791 of the family's 1533-position model. The record is from RNAcentral.
AAAGGGUGUGUAGGCGGGCUGUUAAGUCAGUGGUGAAAUCUCCGGGCUCAACCUGGAAACUGCCAUUGAUACUAUCAGUCUUGAAUCUUGUUGAGGUUGGCGGAAUAUGUCAUGUAGCGGUGAAAUGCAUAGAUAUGACAUAGAACACCGAUUGCGAAGGCAGCUAACUAAACAAGUAUUGACGCUGAGGCACGAAAGCGUGGGGAUCAAACAGGAUUAGAUACCCCAGU